UGCCCCUAUAGCUCAGUCGGUUAGAGCAGAGGACUCAUAAUCCUUUUGUCCCAGGUUCGAGCCCUGGUGGGGGCACUAA
This 79-nucleotide transfer RNA is filed under the name Corynebacterium amycolatum SK46. RNAcentral's name for it is "tRNA-Met". It matches the Rfam family "tRNA". From Rfam's summary of the family: Transfer RNA (tRNA) molecules are approximately 80 nucleotides in length. Lineage: Bacteria; Bacillati; Actinomycetota; Actinomycetes; Mycobacteriales; Corynebacteriaceae. The record is from RNAcentral.